RNAcentral lists this ribosomal RNA (744 nucleotides) under Triticum aestivum (bread wheat). RNAcentral's name for it is "partial small subunit ribosomal RNA". Lineage: Eukaryota; Viridiplantae; Streptophyta; Magnoliopsida; Poales; Poaceae. The record is from RNAcentral.
AUGGCAGAGCACUCUGAGAAUGCGGCAGAGAACAUGAUGAGCGGCAUCAUGGACGCCAUUGCCGACAAGAUCCCCAAGCAAAAGUCUGUCAGGUUCGACGAUGAGGGCUCCAUCUCCGGCCAAGCCAAGAAGCUCUUUGGCGGCCACAAGUCUGUUCACCACGUCCUCGGCGGUGGAAAAUCCGCUGAUGUGCUACUGUGGAGGAACAAGAAGAUCUCAUCCAGCGUUCUUGCUGUUGCAACAGCUGCCUGGGUCUUCUUCGAGUGGCUCGACUACCAUUUCUUGACCAUCGUAUCAUUUGUGCUUGUUCUUGGCAUGGUUGUCCAGUUCGGAUGGUCCAGCUUCGCAGGCAUGCUCAAUGGGUCUCCCUCUAACGUGCCCCGUUUGGAGUUACCGGAAGAGCUGUUUGCAAACAUCGGCGUAGCUGUCGGCGCCCAGGUGAACAAAUUCUUGGGAAGCCUUCAGGAUGUGUCUUGUGGAAGAGACCUGAAGCAGUUCCUCAUGGUGGUCGCCGGGUUCAUUGUCACCGCUUUCAUCGGGAGCUGGUUCAGUCUCAUCACCGUCAUCUACAUCGGGUUUGUGUGUGCACACACUCUACCAGUGUUCUAUGAGAGGUAUCAUGAUCAAGUCGAUGAGGUGCUGUACAACAUGCUUGGGUUGAUUGGGAGUCAGUACCAGAAGCUUGACAAGGGCGUCUUGAGCAAGAUGCCUAAAGGGAACCUCAAGUUCAGGAAGAGCCAGUAG